UCAGCACCAGGAUAUUGUUGGGGA
This 24-nucleotide non-coding RNA is filed under the name Bos taurus (domestic cattle). Lineage: Eukaryota; Metazoa; Chordata; Mammalia; Artiodactyla; Bovidae. RNAcentral also lists the same sequence under 1 other name. The record is from RNAcentral.